GAUGAACGCUGGCGGCGUGCCUAAUACAUGCAAGUAGAACGCUGAAGGCGGAGCUUGCUCUUCUGGAUGAGUUGCGAACGGGUGAGUAACGCGUAGGUAACCUGCCUGGUAGCGGGGGAUAACUAUUGGAAACGAUAGCUAAUACCGCAUGACAACAGUUAUUGCAUGAUAACUGUUUAAAAGGGGCAACUGCUCCACUACCAGAUGGACCUGCGUUGUAUUAGCUAGUUGGUGAGGUAACGGCUCACCAAGGCGACGAUACAUAGCCGACCUGAGAGGGUGAUCGGCCACACUGGGACUGAGACACGGCCCAGACUCCUACGGGAGGCAGCAGUAGGGAAACUUCGGCAAUGGACGGAAGUCUGACCGAGCAAAGCCGCGUGAGUGAAGAAGGGUUUCGGAUCGUAAAGCUCUGUUGCAAGAGAAGAACGAGUGUGAGAGUGGAAAGUUCACACUGUGACGGUAUCUUACCAGAAAGGGACGGCUAACUACGUG
Molecule: ribosomal RNA, 495 nt
Filed under: uncultured bacterium
Lineage: Bacteria
Description: partial 16S ribosomal RNA
Rfam family: Bacterial small subunit ribosomal RNA
Source: RNAcentral